This is a long non-coding RNA of Drosophila arizonae, 492 nucleotides long. The record is from RefSeq and is a predicted model, not a curated record. NCBI's taxonomy places the organism in Eukaryota, Metazoa, Arthropoda, Insecta, Diptera, Drosophilidae.
GAAGUAGACUGUAUGCUGAAAGAAGUUUCAUUUUACCAUAAUAAUAACUCUAUAUUAACUCGACGGUACCACGUCCUCGACUUGGGGUCGCGUAGCUUGCGUCGGUUGUAAAUGAACGUGCUGCAUAUUAAUGUAUUUACUACUUGAUACCAAAUAACUGCCUGAUACAUAUAAAUAAUAUAAGAAUCAAAAUGGAUAAAUACUGUCAUCAUUAUCUAGAAAUAUUAUUAUUUAUAUGUAUAUAAAUCAAAUAAUCUGGAACUGCUUGAAGAACGAAGCUGCCUGCUAAAUCUAUAAAAAUACUUGUACGCCCAUUACACUCGAACGUUGUCUGCCUGCAUUACGUUCCGAUCUGAGCGGUACCACGAUACUAGCAACACCUUUAGAGAAGUCAUAAUUGCCUUGCCUGACUUCAUCGUGCAGCUCGCGCUCAGUUCUACACAUUGGACAUUGAUGUACUAAGUGCUACCUAAAUAAAUACCUAUAGAAUAG